CUGCUAUUUUUAUCUGAACAGUUGUUGGGCUUUGUGUCUUUUUUUCAGCAUUAUGUAACCAUAGAGAACACUCACAGCACUCCUGUAAACUGAGAAAACUGCUUGACGAGACAGUAUCUACCUCACAAGUAAACCAGCAGGGGCUUUACAAAGUAAAAAGCUAGUAACUACAGUGGAAAAAGCAGAUAAAGCUACCAGGGGAAAAAGAGGAAAGAUGACAGGAAAAAGAGGUGGAGAAAGGAUGAAAAGUACAUUUUAUAAGUAGAUACAGAAGAUUAAAGAAAAACUGAAGAAUUGAUAAGCACAGUCACGGCGGUGAAUUUGAGGACAUGCCAGAUUUUGAUAACAGGUUGCUCUCACCAGCUGCAGGGAUUACUGGUGGAAAAUGAAAAUGGAAGCGGUAACCAAGAAAUUCAAUGGAAAUAGAAGUGGGAACCAGAGAGUAAAAGGAAAAGGAAAAGCAGACUGAUGCCAAAAGGAUAUAUUUGUACUAAAUUGCCUGGAUAUGAUUUUGUUGUUCUCUAAAAAUGAGUAAAAAUUAAAAAUACAGAAAAAUGAGAGAGAAACUUCAAUAUGUAUGUCAGAUGAAAAAGGAAGAUGUUAAGACAAACAAGCAUUUUUUUUUUUAUAGUGGAGUACCGUCAUUUUUUUUUUUUUACUACCAUUUCCUAAUUCAAUAAAUGUAUAUCAAUUUGUUCUUAAUUCAUGCGUCUGUGUUUUUUUCCUCCUCCAAUUCCCUCCCAGUGGAAAUUUUUUUUUAUCCAGCUAUUUGAGUGUUCCUGAUGGUUUACCCCAUGGUCUUUUGUGACUAAAAAUAUUAUCCUUUUCCUUUCUGUUAACAUUCAUCCUCACCAAAAUCAAAGGCAUUGUCCAGGACUUUCCAUAAGACAUCUGGCUUCUAAUCAUGAGGUCUUUUUUUAUACAUUUCUUUUUGUGUUUUAUAAACUUGCAGAACUAGAUCUUCCUUUACAUUCUUGUACAAUUUUCAUAAUUUGCUCUAACAGGCUUAUUGCCAUGCAUGUCCUGCUUCUGUCACACUUGGCAUGAUUCCCCAAUAAUUUAUUUGUGGUAAAGGAGAACCAGAUUAGAUCAGCAUUAUCUUUAAUUAAAGUUAUUGUUACAGAGUUAGCUCACUCGGGACUUUAUUUUUUAAUGUCUCCAGAAUCAGUGUUGAGUUCUAUGUACUAUGUUGCCCAUGCUAUUGCAAUAAGAAUUGUAUUGAUGUUGCACACUUGAAAAAUAAAACUUAUUA
Gavialis gangeticus (Gharial) is the source of this 1252-nucleotide long non-coding RNA. RefSeq lists it as uncharacterized. The record is from RefSeq and is a predicted model, not a curated record. The transcript is spliced from 4 exons. Lineage: Eukaryota; Metazoa; Chordata; Crocodylia; Gavialidae.